Pseudophryne corroboree (corroboree frog) is the source of this 391-nucleotide long non-coding RNA. RefSeq lists it as uncharacterized. The record is from RefSeq and is a predicted model, not a curated record. The transcript has 2 exons. Lineage: Eukaryota; Metazoa; Chordata; Amphibia; Anura; Myobatrachidae.
AGGGGGCACAGGGAACAAGUUACCCCAGCCUCCCCCUGCUGCCUUUGAUCCCCGCAGCAGUGCACUAUUGCACUGCUGAGCUGGAAAAAUGAAUGACAGCCGGAGGUCCGAAAAGGGGGCGGAGCUACACGGCACUGUACUCACAGUGACAGGCCAGCCAGCACCAUCGGAUAGAGGAGGGGAGAGAAGAGCAGCAGCACAGCACAGCCUAAAUAAACGCUGAUCAUCGAUGGACACUGAUUGGAUCAACAGAACAGGGAAACUGGGCCAUAGAUGCCAGGGACGUGCAGUCAGGGGAGGCAGGGCCUCCCCUGUCAUCAACGAUUAAAAUAAUACAAAGAAGAUACUUAUGACACAUAUUCUGUGUCAUAAGUAUCUCCUUUAGCCUUUA